AAAAAGAAAAAGAAAGAAAAAGAUAAAGAAAAAAAGGAAUGAAGGCAGGGGAUGUCAGGUAUCUAGAGUAAACUGUGCACAGGGUCUGUGAGACCCACAAACUGCACCUGGCACUGCCUGGAUCAGGUAGGCUUCCUGGAGGAGAUGCCACCUAAGUUGCAAGAGAAGGAAGGUAAAAGCUUGCUCCUGAAGGAGGAACAAGGAGUCUGGAUUGGGUGGUGAAUAGAGGAUAUACAUGUAGGGUCAGGAGCUCUGUUGGGCUGAGAGCUUCUCUCCCCACGACCGCCUUACCCUCCAAAGCUCUGGGACUCACAGUUCACGGGUCCUUCAGACCUCAGCCUAGGGCAACCUGGUGAAGAUUACCCUCCCUCCAGGGUCCAGGCCCACCUGGCUGAGGGGGCUGUAAGGCUGAGAAUGUCCCCUAAGGCCCCCCUCCAAUGUUGGGGGGGCCAGUUACCAGGGAGCAGCUGCUGAAGUCCAGGUAAGAGGUGUCAAGAGCAGACCUAGGGUGACUUCCCUCCCCCUGCCUCAUACCUCUCAGAGCCUGGAGAGAGAACUCUGGGCAACCACCCAGUUAGAACUACAUCCUCAUCUCAGAGACCGAGAGACUGAGUCCCAGCCUGGCUUCAGAGCAGGUUAGAGGUCCCCUGGGAGCCAAAGCCCAUGUUUCCACCAUACCAGGGAGGCACUGGAGCAGAGCCAGGAACAAAGGCCAGCAUUGCAUAUUUUGUUGUCCUCAUCCUACAGCUGCCACCUACUGAGGCAGUGGUGGACGGACCAGAGCUAGGGUUGGGCCUCCACAUAAGCUGCUUCUCCUUUGACUCUAAUGUCCAACCAGCAGGACAUUACAACUUCUACUCCCUGGGUGGGCAGGGUGCAAUGCACUGUCCUCUGACAGCGUCCUGUAGCUGUCAGCCCAGGGCAGGCCCACAGAGGAAUAGUUCCUGCCUAAGCGAGGGUAGUGCCACUCCUGGGGUCUCCCCACACUUCCCCUCUGGUUCUCCACACAUUGGUGGUCUCUGUUUCCCACACGGUGGGUCCACCAGGCCCUGCCCAGAAACAAGGGUCUGAGGAUGUUGUAAUAUCCUGGAGCCAAGAGAAGAAAUAGACCAGGUGGUCCUCAAAGUGCUGGGGCAGCCCCCCCACCCCGCCCCUUCACUUCCUCCUUGUCGGUCGUGGUGGGGGGAGUGGAGGCAGAACAGGAAGGCUCAGACCUACUUAACCUCUUUCCAGGUCACUCCAGCACAACCAUCCAGAGGCCAUAGAGAAAAAGGCGCCCAGGAGUAGAUGCAGGACUCAGGCUUCAGAUUGCGGGAAGAGUCGCACCGGCUGAGCGGUCGGGCUAGGCUAGUCCUACAGCGGGCCACGCCCACAGCUCCGCCCCCACACCCUGGUCCCACCAGCCCCGCCCAGGCUUUCCAACUGAGUUUGCUCUAAGGGCGCGGGCUGGGAGCCGCAGCUGGGCCAGCAGGUGAGGCAGCCUGUCUGUUCCCUGUCUGUGUGCGUCCGCCUGCUCCAGCUGCUCAGACCCGAGGGCAGGGGAGGGCGGUCGGCACCUCAGGCACCCUGGCGUAGUCGGCUGCCUGAGGGCUCUCAGGUCCGGCUUUCGACGCUAGUCCCAACCCAGACUUAGAGUCGGCUCCCAGCCAGACCCUGGCCUGCAGGAACCUCCGCGGGGCCCGGUCUGGGCCUCAAUGGAGCUCCACCCGCUGCCGUUGCUGCCCUUCCUGUUACUACUGCUGCUGCCACUGCUGCCGGCUGUGCCCGCGACAGGUGGGUCCUGGCAGUGCCCGCGCAUCCCCUACGCUGCCUCCCGCAACUUUGACGUGAAGUACGUGAUGCCCAGCUACUCUGCCGGCGGUCCGGUACAGGCUGUGACGACCUAUGAUGGCGACGGGGAAGGGAGUGCCGUCUUCGUGGCCACACGCAAUCGCCUGCACGUGCUUGGGCCUGACCUGCAGCCAGUUGAGAGCCUGGCCACGGGCCCUGCUGGGGACCCUGGCUGCCAGACAUGUGCAGCCUGUGGCCCAGGCCCCUACGCUCCGCCGGGAGACACAGAUGCGCAGGUGCUAGUACUGGAGCCGGCGCUGCCAGCACUAAUCAGUUGUGGCUCCAGCCUUCAUGGCCGCUGCUUCUUGCAUGAGCUAGAGCCCCGUGGGACAGUCCUGCACCUGGCGCCACCAGUCUGCCUUUUCUCUGACCACCACAAUCGACCAGAGGACUGCCCCGACUGUGUGGCCAGCCCUCUGGGCACACUUGUGACCAUCGUUGAGCAGGGCCAUGCCUCCUACUUCUAUGUGGCAUCGUCACUGGACUCAGCAGUGGCCACCAGCUUCAGCCCACGCUCAGUCUCCAUCCGGCGACUCAAGGCUGACGCCUCAGGAUUCGCACCAGGCUUUGCUUCACUGUCAGUGCUGCCUGAGCACCUCUCUUCCUACCGGAUCGAAUACGUGUACAGUUUCCGUUCCGGAGCCUUCGUCUAUUUCCUGACAGUGCAGCCUGUCAACGUGGCAGCUGCUCCUGGCGGCUUACACACUCACCUGGCGCGACUCAGCGCUGUAGAGACCGACCUCGGCGACUACCGCGAGCUUGUCCUCGACUGCCGUUUUGCGCCUAAACGCCGGCGUCGCUCGGCGCAUGAGGGCGGCCAACCCUACCCCGUGCUGCGGGCGGCCCACGCUGCUGCAGUGGGAGGCCGACUGGCUACUGAGCUGAGCAUCUCUGAGGGCCAGGAAGUGCUAUUCGGUGUAUUCUCAGCAAGCAGAGACAGCGGCCCGAGUGUGGAUCCUAAUUCUGUCGUCUGCGCCUUUCCCGUCAACCUGCUGAACAGGCUCAUCGAUCUGGGAGUGGAGCACUGUUGUGAGCCUCCCGUCCACCAGGGCCUGCGGCGAGGCCUAGACUUCUUCCAGUUGCCCAGUUUAUGCCCCAACCCGCCUGGCCUGGAGGCCCCCAGCCCCAACACCAGCUGCCGCCACUUCCCUCUGCUGGUCAGCCACAACUUCUUACGUGUGGACCUAUUCAACGGGCUGUUAGGAACAGUGCAGGUCACUGCACUGUAUGUAACAUGCCUCGACAAUGUCACAGUGGCCCACAUGGGCACAGCUGAUGGCCGCAUCCUGCAGGUGGAACUGGCCAGGUCUCCCAACCACUUGCUGUAUGUGUCCAACUUCUCACUGGGCAGCAAUGGGCAGCCUGUGCAUCGGGAUGUCAGUCGACUUGGGGACUACUUGCACUUUGCCUCUGGUGACCAGGUCUUCCAGGUACCUAUCCGGGGCCCUGGCUGCCGCCACUUCCUCACCUGUGGGCAUUGCCUGCGGGCACAACGUUUCAUGGGCUGUGGAUGGUGUGGGAACAUGUGUGCCCAACAGAAGGAGUGUCCUGGAUCCUGGCAACAGGACCAUUGCCCACCCGAGCUUACUGAGUUCUACCCCCACAGUGGACCCCUGAGGGGCAGCACAAGGCUGACCCUGUGUGGCUCCAACUUCUACCUGCACCCUUUUGGUUCGCUGCCUGAGGGCACACAUCAGGUCACCGUGGGUCAAAGUCCCUGCCAACUGAUGCCCAAGGACAGCUCAAACCUCAGCCAAGGGCCCUGGAAGGACUUUAUAGAAAAGCUUGAGUGUGAGCUGAAGCCCUUGGGUACUCAGGGAGCCGGGCCCGCCAACGUCAGCCUCACUGUGACCAACAUGCCUCUGGGCAGGCACUUCCGGGUAGAUGGCACCUCCAUGCUGCGAGGCUUCUCUUUCAUGGAGCCAGUGCUGACAGCAGUACAACCCCUCUUUGGCCCACGGGCAGGGGGUACUUGCCUCACCCUUGAAGGCCAAGGCCUGGAUAUUGGCACCAGUUGGGUUGUGCUGAUCAAUGGAACUGAGUGCCCACUGAAAGGAGUCAGAGAGGGGCAGCUUUUAUGUACUACACCCCCUGGGGCUGCUACUGCCAGUGUUCCCAUUCGCCUGAAGGUGGGGGGCGCCGAGGUCCCUGGCUCCUGGAACUUCCAGUACCUGGAAGAUCCCAUUGUGUUGGGCAUCAGCCCCAACUGUGGCUAUCCUGGUUCCCACAUCACCAUCCGUGGCCAGCAUCUGACUUCAGUGUGGAACCUGGUGCUGUCAUUCCAUGAUGGGCUUAGGGCAGUGGAAAACAGGCAGUGUGAGAAGCAGCUCCCGGAGCAGCAGUGGUGCCGCUUGCCUGAAUAUGUGGUCCGAGGCUCCCAGGGGUGGGUGACAGGGAACCUGAGUGCCUGGGGGGAUGGAACUGCUGGCUUCACCCUGCCUGGCUUUCGAUUCCUGCCCCCACCCCAUCCACCCAGCACGGACCUGGCCCCACUGAAGCCUGAGGAGCAUGCCAUUAAGUUUGAGUAUAUUGGGCUGGGCACUGUGGCUGAUUGUGUGGAUGUGAACGUGACCGUGGGUGGUGAGAGCUGCCAGCAUGAGCUCCGGGGGGAUGUGGUCGUCUGCCCCCUGCCCCCCUCCCUGCAACUUGGCAAGGACGGUGCUCCACUGCAGGUCUGCGUGGAUGGUGGGUGUCACGUCCUAGGCAAGGUAGUGCGGCCAGGUCUGGAAGGGGUCCCACAGAGCACGCUCCUUGGUGUCCUGCUGGCCCUGCUCCUGCUUGUGGCUGUACUGGCCGCCAUACUGGUCCUGAAUUACCGCCAGAGAAAACAGCUAGGUGAGCUCUCCACUCCCAUCCUGACUCAGCCCCUACCCCCAAACAAUGACAUCUCCAAGUCCCCAUAUCCUCUCUAUGCCCAGGCCUCGGGGGUCUGCCCAUACCUCCUGGAUAGGGGUCAGCCUCUAGGAGUUAGGAGUGGUUGGCCACCAGGGGCCAUUUUUCCACAGUGCUUUCCCCCAACCUGGAUGACUUGGCAUCCCUGGACCAGACCACAGGAGCUGUGCCUCUGCCUGUGCUUCGCUCAGGCUCUGACUACAGAAAUGGCCUUGCAGCCCCUGCCAUCGAUGGCCAGGAUUCCACAACUCAGGUGCACAGAGCAUCCUUUGCAGACAGCAGGGAUGGGUCCCAUGUUCCACUGCUCCAGAAAGAGUCCAUCCAGCUCAGGGACCUGAACUCUGCACUCCUGGCGGAUGUCAAGGAUGUGCUGAUUCCCCACGAGCGGGUAGUCACCCACACUGACCGAGUCAUUGGCAAAGGCCAUUUUGGGGUUGUCUACCAUGGAGAAUACAUAGAUGAGGCCCAGAAUCGAAUCCACUGUGCCAUCAAGUCGCUGAGUCGCAUUACGGAAUUGGAGGAGGUGGAGGCCUUCCUGCGAGAGGGGCUACUCAUGCGUGGUCUGCACCACCCAAACGUGCUGGCUCUCAUCGGUAUUGUGUUGCCACCUGAAGGGCUGCCCCGGGUGCUGCUGCCCUACAUGCGCCACGGAGACCUGCUCCAAUUCAUCCGUUCACCCCAGCGUAACCCCACGGUGAAGGACCUCAUCAGCUUCGGCCUGCAGGUGGCCCGUGGCAUGGAGUACCUGGCAGAGCAGAAGUUUGUGCAUCGGGACCUGGCAGCUCGGAACUGCAUGCUGGAUGAAUCAUUCACAGUCAAGGUGGCUGACUUUGGUCUGGCCCGAGACAUCCUGGACAAGGAGUACUACAGUGUCCAACAGCACCACCAUGCUCGCCUUCCCAUCAAAUGGAUGGCACUAGAGAGCCUGCGGACCUACAGAUUCACCACCAAGUCUGAUGUGUGGUCAUUUGGUGUGCUGUUAUGGGAACUGCUGACACGGGGUGCCCCACCAUACCCCCACAUCGACCCUUUUGACCUCACUCACUUCCUGGCCCAGGGUCGCCGCCUGCCCCAGCCUGAGUAUUGCCCCGAUUCUCUCUGGGUGGAAUGAAGUGGGCUUUGGCCAGCCAAGAAUUAUGAGAAGAAAGGACUCAGCCUGCUCCAACAGGGUAUGUAACUAGCCCUUACUGAGCACCUCUGGGUUCCUGGAGGGCACUGGCUUAGUGGUAUGGACAGGAAAAGUGCCCCCUCCCAGGCCUGAGCCACCUGCUAAGCUAUUGGGAGGCGGGAGGUCCACACGUGGGAUAUAGCUUGGGUGGGGGCUUGGGGCUGCAGCACUCAGAAGGGAGGCAUGUUGGCACCCAGUGGUGGCACCAUAGGUCCAGAGCCUGGUAGUCUGGUUUCAGAUUCUGGCUCUACAACUCACUAGCUGUGACUUCUCUCUCCUCUCUGGGCCUUGAUUUCCUCAUUCGUAAAAUAAGGAUGCCAGCACCUAGCCCUUUGAAGUGCUGUGAGGCAGAGUUACAGUACUCAGUACUGCAGGACACAGAGGAAGGGCCCAGCUGAUAGCAGUCACGGUUCUUAUUGCUAUAAGGGGUGUUAGCUUCUCAGGUGGGAAGAGCCUUCUCCACUCUCCAGACUGCCUUCUUUGCUCCUUCCUUCAUGGGCCACACCCUUCUCAGGCCAGCCCCGGGCAAAGAGAAUUAUGCCUCACUUCUGCAGGAGGUAGGAGAUGGCUCAGUGGUCUGCCAGGCAGUGGCUUUCAGGCCCUCCCUCCAUGCCUCCCCAGUCUUCCCAGGUGCAGCCCAGCUCAGGGGCUGCGCAGGCACCAGAGGCUGCUACUAGUAUCUCUUCUGUGAGGAAAAACAAAACAAAAAUCACCAACAGUUUGCUAGGGGCCAGAGAUUAAUAAAGUUAACAGUGUUCAGCAA
Molecule: non-coding RNA, 6653 nt
Organism: Sus scrofa (pig)
Lineage: Eukaryota; Metazoa; Chordata; Mammalia; Artiodactyla; Suidae
Source: RefSeq, a predicted model, not a curated record